CUACGGGAUGCAGCAGUGAGGAAUUUUGCGCAAUGGGGGGAACCCUGACGCAGCAACGCCGCGUGAGUGAUGAAGGCUUUCGGGUCGUAAAGCUCUGUCAAGUGGGAAGAACCUAUGCAGUGUUAAUAUCACUGUAUACUGACGGUACCACUGAAGGAAGCACCGGCUAACUCCGUGCCAGCAGCCGCGGUAAUACGGGGGGUGCAAGCGUUAUUCGGAAUCAUUGGGCGUAAAGGGCACGUAGGCGGCUUGGUAAGUCAGAUGUGAAAGCCCGGGGCUUAACCCCGGAAGUGCAUUUGGUACUGUCAGGCUUGAGUAUGGGAGAGGGAAGUGGAAUUCCUGGUGUAGAGGUGAAAUUCGUAGAUAUCAGGAGGAACACCGGUGGCGAAGGCGACUUCCUGGACCAAUACUGACGCUGAGGUGCGAAGGCGUGGGUAGCAAACAGGAUUAGAUACCCCGGUAGUC
This 465-nucleotide ribosomal RNA is filed under the name uncultured bacterium. RNAcentral's name for it is "partial 16S ribosomal RNA". It matches the Rfam family "Bacterial small subunit ribosomal RNA", at positions 339 to 795 of the family's 1533-position model. The record is from RNAcentral.